Molecule: ribosomal RNA, 253 nt
Filed under: uncultured bacterium
Lineage: Bacteria
Description: partial 16S ribosomal RNA
Rfam family: Bacterial small subunit ribosomal RNA
Source: RNAcentral
UACGUAGGGCGCAAGCGUUGUCCGGAAUUAUUGGGCGUAAAGAGCUCGUAGGCGGCUUGUCACGUCGGGUGUGAAAGCCCGGGGCUUAACCCCGGGUCUGCAUUCGAUACGGGCAGGCUAGAGUGUGGUAGGGGAGAUCGGAAUUCCUGGUGUAGCGGUGAAAUGCGCAGAUAUCAGGAAGAACACCAAUGGCGAAAGCAGCUUUCUGGGACGGUACUGACGCUGAGACGCGAAAGCGUGGGGAGCGAACAGG